UAGGGAAUCUUCCACAAUGGACGCAAGUCUGAUGGAGCAACGCCGCGUGAGUGAAGAAGGUUUUCGGACCGUAAAGCUCUGUUGUUGGUGAAGAAGGAUAGAGGUAGUAACUGGCCUUUAUUUGACGGUAAUCAACCAGAAAGUCACGGCUAACUACGUGCCAGCAGCCGCGGUAAUACGUAGGUGGCAAGCGUUGUCCGGAUUUAUUGGGCGUAAAGCGAGCGCAGGCGGAAGAAUAAGUCUGAUGUGAAAGCCCGUCGGCU
This 263-nucleotide ribosomal RNA is filed under the name uncultured bacterium. RNAcentral's name for it is "partial 16S ribosomal RNA". It matches the Rfam family "Bacterial small subunit ribosomal RNA", at positions 355 to 610 of the family's 1533-position model. The record is from RNAcentral.